RNAcentral lists this long non-coding RNA (1106 nucleotides) under Canis lupus familiaris (dog). RNAcentral's name for it is "lncRNA (ENSCAFG00040017037.1)". The record is from RNAcentral. Lineage: Eukaryota; Metazoa; Chordata; Mammalia; Carnivora; Canidae.
AUGCUUCCCCUUCCCUCCCCGCCCCGCCCCCGUAAGCAGCGGAGGCCCAGCAGGGAGGCAGCCUGCCAUGGGCCUUCCCUCCCCGCCCCGCCCCCCCCCCAGCAGCGGAGGCCCAGCAGGGAAGGAGCCUGCCAUGGGCCCUUGCUCAAGGGACCCCCACCUGGGCGGGGCCUCCUGGCUCCUGGGACUCACCAGCCUCAUCCUCAGGGUCAAGACCCUGCAGGUGUCGGCAGCCCUGGGACCCAGAGUUCUGGAAACGCUGUUUCCCUGAAGGGGAUGCAAGGAGCUUCUGUGUCCUUUCAUGUGAUCAGAAAUCCAGACUUGCCUCCAGUAGAUGAGCUGGAGAAGAUAUCAUGGGGCAUUGUAUUCAGAUCGAACUACAUAGUCAUGCUGCAGGUCUUUCCUGGGGCAGAUGUUCCAGAAUGGGUCAACUGGCAGGACAAGUUCCAGAAGAGGGUCCAUGUGUUCAACAUAACCACCCUGAGGAUUGACAACCUGACCCUGGAGGACACUGGGCUGUACCGGGCUCGAGACUCCUACACGAGAGGAAGACAAUACGACCAGGAUUUCCACCUGACUGUGUAUGAGCCUCUGCCCCUUCCCCAGAUCAGGACCACGAAUCUGUCCAUCACCCCAGGCUGGUGCAAUGUCACUGUGCAGUGUGACGCCCCGGGAACCAGGGAGGACCUGACCAUGUCCUGGGAGAGCAAGGGUCUCCCCAGGGAGCUGGAACAACGAGAGGCCACAGGACCAGCCCCCAACCCCUGGACCCUGGCUCUGAGCCUGCCCCUGAACCAGCCCAAUGCCAGCCUCACCUGUGUGCUCAGGAACCAGGUGGACCAGACAACUGCCACCUUGGACCUUGGGGACAUCUGUGGCCACAAUCCACAGGGACAGAGUGAUGCUGACCAUCUACCCGGCAUCCUGGUGACUGUUGUGGUCCUGCUGCUGAUCCUGGGAGCUGGACUGUUUCUCUGGAGGAGAGGGGUGAAGAAGAGCCUGGAGCCUGGGAGAGGUGCAGGGUCCCAGGAGGAGCAUAGGGACCCAAUGAUGGCAUCCACUCUGCAGAGCUGAGCCAGCAGGGGUCUGGACUCAGCAGGGACCAG